Molecule: transfer RNA, 71 nt
Filed under: Ictidomys tridecemlineatus (thirteen-lined ground squirrel)
Lineage: Eukaryota; Metazoa; Chordata; Mammalia; Rodentia; Sciuridae
Description: Spermophilus tridecemlineatus (thirteen-lined ground squirrel) tRNA
Rfam family: tRNA
About the family: Transfer RNA (tRNA) molecules are approximately 80 nucleotides in length.
Source: Rfam by way of RNAcentral
GCGGUUGUGGCUCGGUGGUAGAGCACUUGCCUAGCACAUGUGAGGCCCUGAGUUCAAUUCUCAGCACCGCA